This 427-nucleotide ribosomal RNA is filed under the name uncultured bacterium. RNAcentral describes it as "bacterial SSU rRNA". It matches the Rfam family "Bacterial small subunit ribosomal RNA", at positions 355 to 774 of the family's 1533-position model. The record is from RNAcentral.
UAGGGAAUAUUGGACAAUGGGGGCAACCCUGAUCCAGCCAUGCCGCGUGAGUGAAGAAGGCCCUCGGGUUGUAAAGCUCUUUUGUCCGGAAAGAAAAGCAUUCGGUGAAUACCCGGAUGUUCUGACGGUACCGGAAGAAUAAGCACCGGCUAACUUCGUGCCAGCAGCCGCGGUAAUACGAAGGGUGCAAGCGUUACUCGGAAUUACUGGGCGUAAAGCGUGCGUAGGUGGUUGUUUAAGUCUGAUGUGAAAGCCCUGGGCUCAACCUGGGAAUGGCAUUGGNAACUGGGCAGCUAGAGUGCGGUAGAGGGUAGUGGAAUUCCCGGUGUAGCAGUGAAAUGCGUAGAGAUCGGGAGGAACAUCUGUGGCGAAGGCGACUGCCUGGACCAGCACUGACACUGAGGCACGAAAGCGUGGGGAGCAAACA